RNAcentral lists this long non-coding RNA (3674 nucleotides) under Canis lupus familiaris (dog). RNAcentral's name for it is "lncRNA (ENSCAFG00000058258.1)". Lineage: Eukaryota; Metazoa; Chordata; Mammalia; Carnivora; Canidae. The record is from RNAcentral.
CUUUUCUUUUUUUUUUUUUUUUUUUUGGAUAUAUUCUCAUGGUGAUUCAAAACCCAGCUCUCGGUGCUUUGGACUUUGUUAUUAGGCCAUUGGUUCUUUGUAAAAUGGUCACUAUGAGAAUAACCUUUCCAAAGUCACUAUGCAUUGGCCAUAAGAAUAUCAAUGAAGGCACUGCCUACCUUUAAAAAAAAGUUAUCUGUAUAAAAACAGCCAAUAUGAGAAUCUAUGUAAAAAGUUUCCUUUAGUGUCAACACUAAAAGAGGCUUUCCUUCCACAGAACUGGUGAGUUUUGCCCCUGUCAUCAAUUCAACAAAUCAAUGGUAUGUUUCACUCUUUGUUUUAAAGAGCUACCAAAAAAGCUCCAAUUCUAAAUUUUGGUUGAAGUAUACCCACUGGAAAUGACCACUGUGAUCUGGAUAUAUAAUCCUAUUUUCUCCUUGUCACACAGUCUAUUAUUUCAUUUCCUUGUUCUUGAUUUCUAUUAAUGUUUCACUAUAUAUUUAACGUGUGACCUCAGGUACACCUCAUCCUAUUUAUGGAAUGAGAUGGGUACAAACCAGCAAACUCUUACUACUAACAUACAAAUAACAAAACUUCAAUUACCAGAUACUCAAAUGAGCCUAUAUUCUCUUUAUGGAGGAUUGUCGAUAAGGUAGAACACUGAUCAAACAAAUCUAUGCAAUUCUGAGUUUAUGCUGGACUUAAUAUAGUUUUUUGUUUUUGUUUUUGUUUUUAUUUCUAGAAAGGCAGCAAACUACCUAGGAUGUAUAUAGUUUUUGAUAACCAAUGAAAAAGUACUCGGUAUUAUCUUCUUCAGAAAAGGAAAAACAGAUUCUAAACUGAGGUCUCAAUUUACUGAUUUUUUUUUUUUUCCCUCUGAAGUGAAAACCUAGAAUGUCAGCCCUUUUUGCUCACCUGGAGGAUGCAAAAGGGGGUAGGCUUUCUGAGCAGCUCUUGCAUAAUGAAGCAAAAUUCAUUGUGUUCUGGCCCGGCUCCCAAUUUAACCAAGGCAGGCAGAGGGCUGGAGCCCUGUUCACAUACUGGUCAGGCUGCCAGAGUCCCUCCAGCAACCAGCCAGUGCAAUGGGCUGCUCUGUGGCCUCACGCCUCAGUGCCAUGGGAGAAAGAACAGGGGAACGAAUGUGUCCCUGUGCUUGGCUCGCUCCUGUGCCCACCUUCCUUCCUCUCAGCUGCCAUGCUGUCCACAUGCACCAAGGAUGCCGCUGCAGGAAAGGUGCCCACCACCCCCUACCCUGUUCCAGCCAACAGCUCCCUUCCUGGGUCUGGGUCCUCCUCUGUCCUACCUCUCAGAGCACCUAGCAUAUUCUCCAUCAACACCCUUACACACCAUCGUCCACUGCCGUUUAGGACCACAUGCCCACAAGAAGCCACAAUUACCAUUCAUCUUCUCUGAUCCCUUUCCCUGAAAUUUUUGGUGGCUUUUUUUUUCUUUUAUGGGUUUUCUAUCUCGUGCUAGUCAUUUACUUUCUAUGGUUACUAUCUGAUUAAAAAGGGAUGUUAUUAUUGGUGCUACCAUUGGGUUUCCCAAGAAAAUCUAUAUCCUGGCCCCGUGCUGAGCUGGAAAUCUGUGCAAACAGCUGCUAGGUGUUUGGUGAUCUGGGCUUCCCUCCUUGUCUGAGCUCCGCAAUGCUGCAGGGACCUUGGAAUGGGAUGACCCGUCCGGUUCUCACACUAACACGAUAUCCCCACUGAGAGAGGCAAACAUUUAGCCCACAUUUUUUUCUUCUCUCUGGAGCUCGUGCUGAGCAUCAGAAGGUAAAACUAAAGUGGAGCAUUAUACUACCCACAGUCCUAAACACCCCGUCACUUGCCAGGUCUACACUCUGCAGUGCUAAAUGAACCGCCGACAAAGUCACCUUGACGGUGGGCUUUCACCCACCUCCCCUCGCUGGGUAGCCUCUGGCAUGUGUCGAGACUGGGAAUCCAGAAACCUGUUUGAGCUCUGCUCUGUAGCCGUGGCCCUGGCUGAAUCACUAAAUCCAUCUGUGUUUCAGGUCCUGUAAACCGUCAGGAUUCACCCCAAACCAUCUCUAAGUUUCCUACCAGCUAUAACACAAAGAGAACCCUCAACAUGAACCUUCUAAAACCAAGUUCAAAGAAAAAUAACAUAUAUUUACAAAGAAAGGCAAAUUGUCACAAAAAUAAAUGUUGUCCUUCACGGUCAUUCUAUGGAACUGAUUUAACGCUCUUCACUGAUAGGAAACUCAUACCCUGGAGUAACAAGCCACACCGGCUCUGCCCCAGCCAGGAAGGUCCAGCUUCGGAAACCACCGCCCUGCUCGCUUCUAAAAGCUGCCCUUGUGGCUCAGAAGAGCUGACACACUCUCCAAAAUGGUCUAUUACUCCCACGGACAGUUGGAGACCUCAUGUAAUGACUGCUUCAAAUGCACGCUGACAACUGCCCCUCUACCGUUUGCAGCCAAACACCACACACGGACUGUAAAUCAUCUCCCGUGGGCAAACAGAAUCCCAAAUCCUAACUGCAGUCACUUCCGUUUUUAAUCAAUUCCUACAGAUACUUAAAUAUGCGCAGCUAUUAUAAAAAUUAACCUUCCCUCCUAAAGUUCAGAAUCCAAGCAGCCCAUGUGAUCUGUCAUCAAUCUAGAACACAACUGAGAAGCCAAUCUUUCUGUGAAACCAUUAACAGAUUCUGCUUUUCUGUCACCAGGGUAAUUUACUGAGGCCAAUUUUAAUCCUGCCACUAAACCACUAAUCCCAUGACUCUACAGUCCCCAAGUUUACGUUGCUAUGGCAAGUACUUUUACAUGAGGAAUUCACUUAUUUACCACCAGUCAUGUUUUUUAAGUUGGCUCUAGGAAUAAGAUCAUCUUCCUCGCCUCUUACUUUAAAAAGUAAAAAGCCAUUUUUGGAAUAAGGACACCCCUCGAACACCUGGGCUGCGCUGUACUCAUCACAAUAACACUAAUGUAAAUUACGCAUGGUGUUACUCAAAGGGACAAAUUAUCGUCAUUAUGCUAAUGGUCACGCUAAAGACAUGAAAAGCUUUGGUGUGAUGAAUCUCAAUCUGGUGGGAAUAUGAUUAUCAAAUGUGAAUGAUGAUAUUUUCUCAAACUGGCAUAAAAAUGUUCUCUCCAUGUCACUGAUAAUGUCAAUAUAAAUUAUGCAUCACCAAAAGCAGCGUUCGUGCACGCCGCUGACAUGCUAUGAAGCGACACCCAGGCCCACCUUCCUAUCCACAGAUGCCCUGCUCUGAAGGCACACACACACACACACACACACACACACACACGAAUGAGUAUAAAUGUGUUUACUUCUUCCCUUAAAACAGGAAAAACAGUCUGAUUAAAGCUAAUGAGACAGAUUGAACGAGAAGGGCACCGAAAGACGCGUGAGCUCUGGUGGCAAGGCCACAGCCGUACAGGAUGUUAACAAUGGAAGCAUAAUCUUCCAUGCUGUUCCCUCUUCAUAAAUUCCCGGGAUGUCGCCUUAGCAGCCACUCUGGUGAAUUAAACACAAGACUCUCCAAAAAUUCAAAAGCAGUAUCUGUAAACAAAACAAAUCACUAAGUGAAAGCAUCCCGCUCUGCCUCUGGAUAAUUCCAGAAUAGCACCACAAAAGUUUAAACUGUGAAACCAGAUUGUCCAUCUGUUCAUUGAUUAGACCAUCCACUAAAAAAAAAAAAAAAAAAAAAAA